Molecule: long non-coding RNA, 516 nt
Filed under: Apteryx rowi (Okarito brown kiwi)
Lineage: Eukaryota; Metazoa; Chordata; Aves; Apterygiformes; Apterygidae
Description: lncRNA (ENSARWG00000018145.1)
Source: RNAcentral
CCAUGUUGUGCUACCUGGCAGCAUCCCAGCCUUUGCAUCCACAGCUCCCUUGUGUGGCCCAGAGGCAAAGGGACCCCCCUGAUGGUCUUUCCUCUCCUGUUCCAGCCUUCUCUACUCUUGACCUGAUGCCUCCCACCAGUUUGGUGGACGACUCGUCUUCCCCCGGGCCAGGCUCUGAUGGUGACACAGAUGACAAUACGGAUGGAAACGGCAGGGGACUGCUUGCUGCAUUUUCCCGAUUCAUUGCAAAAGCCAUUCGUUUUGUGUGUGACAAGUACCAAAAGGUGUUUGGGCUGCUGUUUGGUUGAAAGACAAUGAAUGUGGGAGUGGGCAGGGGAAUGGAAGGAGUCUUCCAUCCCUGCAGCAACAUCUACUGCUCACCGAAGUUGGGUCCAGGAUGGUGAUCUUGAUGCUGGCUCCUCUCACAGGGGCUUUGACCCUACCCAGCAGAGCUGACUCCACUGACAUCCGCUCAACCGCAGUGUCUGACCAAUGUCAAAUUCGAAAUAAAGUCCA